GGAAAUCCUCAGGGACUGUUAGGAAUUAGUUACUUGUACUAAUAACCAUUUUAAAAAUUUAUUAGGAAGCUGAUAUCCUUUUUUGUUCUCCCAAAAUUGGUGUGAAAAUUUAACCAAAUCCAAUAAAAAUCCCAGGAGAAUUUUUGUGUAAAUAGCAGCAUGGUGAUUCCAAGUAUUAUACCAAAAGGCCUAACUUAACUGAUUUUUAUGUCUGUAAUUUAAUUUAAAAAAUCCUAAAAUAAGUAAAUAAAUGCUAGUCCAAGAACAUGAAGCUACCAUUUUUCCUUGCUGCUCUGAGGUCUCAUGUGAGAGUGACAUUACCAUUUACUGUGUUCUUCCUUGAUAAUUACCUGGAGUCACUUGAUUAUUUGGAUGAUCUAGGCAGUCUAGUUCUCUGCCUCCAUCAUUAUAGUCUGGAUUAUCAUCUUUAAAGAUUAGAGAUGAGAUGAAGAGAGGUCAAGCCACUCCUAGCUGAGAGUACCAGAUGUGUGACCAAGGCUCACUGGGACAAUCCAGCCCCACUCAAGCCACUGGUUACUUCAAAUCAUAUAAGUGACAUCAAGUGAAAGUAGAACUGCCCAACUGAAUCAAAUCCGAAUUUGUGACCCAUAGAUCAUGAUAAAAUAAAAUGCUUGUUGAAAAUAACCAUUACGUUUUUGGGGCAGCUUGUUAUACAGCAUUAGAUAACUGAUACAAUAUAAUCCAC
Molecule: long non-coding RNA, 706 nt
Filed under: Marmota monax (woodchuck)
Lineage: Eukaryota; Metazoa; Chordata; Mammalia; Rodentia; Sciuridae
Source: RNAcentral